GGAGGCAGCGGAAAAAAAAGGUGGCUCCCUCUUGCAGCACCAGGAGGACGGCAGGCAGAGCAGCUCAGGUGGCCAGCGGUAUCACCGUGGGCUCCAGUUAGUCUACCUAGAGACCCCCCCCCCCACCCCAUCUGCGGGACACGACCGGAGCGUCUGGAGGUGAGAGCCUCGGCGAAUCCACUCCGCCUCAUCAUACCCCGCUCAGGUCACCUACCGGCAUUUUCUCUCCGCCCUCUGCGAAGAUGAUACCUGGCAAACGAAGAGCUGCAGUCAUGUCCUUCUCGGUGGCGAUAAUUGGAGCGCUGAUGCUGCAGUCCGUCUCGUCCCAGAACGCGGGCUUUGUGAAAUCGCCUCUCUCUGAGACUAAGCUCACGGGCGACAUCUUUGAGCUGUACUGCGACGUGGUAGGUAACCCCACCCCAGAAAUCCAGUGGUGGUACGCCGAGAUCAACCGCGCCGACUCUUUCAGGCAGCUGUGGGACGGCGCCCGUAAGCGCCGGGUGUCCAUCAGCACGGCCUACGGCGUCAACGCCGUGAGCACCCUGGGGGUCUCGCGCCUCACGCUGGAUGACGCCGGCACCUACGAGUGCAGGGCCAGCAACGACCCGCGGCGCAACGACCUCCACCAAAACCCCGCCACCACCUGGAUCCGUGCUCAGGCCACCGUCACGGUGCUGCAGAAGCCGUCAAUCGACGCAACCGAACAUGUCACGCUUACCCCGGACAUUUCUAGCGUCACUCUGCAGUGCAACCUGUCGAGCUCCCAGGGUUCCCACCAGGAAACCUACUGGAUGAAGAAUGGGCUGGAGAUCGCGGAAACACGCACCAACAACAAGAACACUGAAUACAGGCUGAACAGAGCAAGGGCGGAAGACGCCGGAGUGUACAUGUGUGUGUUUACCUUCGAGAUGACUCCUUCCACCAACGCCACCAUCGAAGUUAAAUCUGCUCCCCAGAUCACAGGCCACAAGCGCAGUGAGAAUAAGAAUGAGGGCCAGCAGGCUUUGCUCUACUGUAAGUCUGUGGGGUACCCUCACCCGGACUGGACCUGGCGCAAGUUUGAGAAUGGCAAUUUAAGGGAAAUCGACAACUCGACCGGCCGCUUCUUCGUCAGCAGCAAAGAGAACUACACUGAGCUCUACAUCCUGAACCUCGACAUUAGUUUAGACCCGGGCGAGUACCACUGCAGCGCCAACAACUCCCUUGGCUCCGAUGGCGAGAAGUCCAUGUUGAGGGUUCGCAGCCACUUGGCCCCCCUAUGGCCACUUCUGGGGGUUUUGGCUGAGAUCAUCAUCCUGGUCGUCAUCAUCGUCGUUUAUGAGAAGCGCAAGAAGCCAGAAGAUUUACAAGACGUGUGAGACUUUGCAUGCCUCAUGCAUUCCAAUAAGCAUUCAGCCUCAUCUUCUUCCACUUCGCAGCACAAUGAUGACUUAGCCGGACCAGUGAAAACUAAUUCAACCAACAACCACAAAGACAAGAAUCUGCGCCAGAGGAAUACAAAUUGAGCAGCUUGUCUGCUGAGUCUCAUUUCACAUGUAUUGACCAUAUGAAGGUAAACAAGACGGGACUCCAUUGUUAAUAGGAUGCAUCUGCCAUUAAAAGUAUGGUUGUGGAGGAGUUACAUGAGGCAUGCCUUAUGAUUUUAUUGUGUGCGGGUGUGAGGUCAGGGGGUACUCAGAUCAUCAUAUGGAAUUGUUAACAUUAUAACCAUUGUUGCUGCAUGCAGGUGUCGAUGUUUAGGAUUUUUGUUUUUCCCUUCUAAACACUAAUUUUUCCGUUUUUACAACUUAAAGUAAAUGCAUGCAAGAUGACGACCUUCUGUUUGACACAGAAAUGGCUUUUUAAGUUUGUUCCUUUCUCUGAGAGUGGCUUCAUGUAGAUAUUCUGUGUGUACUAGAGGAAAAAAAAACAUAACUCAGCAAUGUAAACGAGUGAACCACCAUAAUCGGGUAUGACAGAUGUGUACAGUUUUAUCAUUCCGCUGCAUACUGUUCAUUUUAUCUGAUAGUAUCUAUUACAUUUUAAGGGCUUUGCAGUGUCCCUCUAAAUUUGGUUUAGGUUUACUUUACUGUAUGUACUGUAUGUAUUAAAUCACUAUAACUAUGUAUCAGACUACCAUCAAUAUAAAGAUUAUCCAUAUUAUAUGAUGCACUUAAAUGUUGAGAAUAAUGAAAAGCUGUAUAAAACCUACUUUAGGAAAUCUGUACUAAUCAUUCUAACACAUUGUUUUAUAAUUAUGUGUCUUGUACAGCAUGGCUAUUAUCCUAUGCAAUUAUUGUCCAUAUCAGUAUAUUGAAAAUCAUUGCAGCUUUUGAUUUCCCUGUGACAAAGCUUUAAACUGGUAGGAUCACCGUAGAGCGUACUCCACGGCUGCAUGCGUUAUCAAUAAGAGCUGACGUGGGAGGCAGUGAAAGCGAGCCCACAUCAGAGCCGACACAUGUGAAGCAAUUCCAAGAUCCCGAAUUCAUUUUUAAGAAUAAAAAGCUCCAAAAAGAAAA
RNA transcript from Mugil cephalus (flathead mullet), 2498 nucleotides. It is a transcript of the gene named neuroplastin-like, with no coding region annotated. The record is from RefSeq and is a predicted model, not a curated record. The transcript is spliced from 10 exons. NCBI's taxonomy places the organism in Eukaryota, Metazoa, Chordata, Actinopteri, Mugiliformes, Mugilidae.